RNAcentral lists this ribosomal RNA (468 nucleotides) under uncultured bacterium. RNAcentral describes it as "partial 16S ribosomal RNA". It matches the Rfam family "Bacterial small subunit ribosomal RNA", at positions 28 to 507 of the family's 1533-position model. The record is from RNAcentral.
GACGAACGCUGGCGGCGUGCUUAACACAUGCAAGUCGAACGGAAAGGCCCUGCUUUUGUGGGGUGCUCGAGUGGCGAACGGGUGAGUAACACGUGAGUAACCUGCCCUUUACUUUUGGAUAACUUCAGGAAACUGGGGCUAAUACCGGAUAGGUGCUCCUGCUGCAUGGUGGGGGUUGGAAAGUUUCGGCGGUUGGGGAUGGACUCGCGGCUUAUCAGCUUGUUGGUGGGGUAGUGGCUUACCAAGGCUUUGACGGGUAGCCGGCCUGAGAGGGUGACCGGCCACAUUGGGACUGAGAUACGGCCCAGACUCCUACGGGAGGCAGCAGUGGGGAAUAUUGCACAAUGGGCGGAAGCCUGAUGCAGCAACGCCGCGUGCGGGAUGACGGCCUUCGGGUUGUAAACCGCUUUCGCCUGUGACGAAGCGUGAGUGACGGUAAUGGGUAAAGAAGCACCGGCUAACUACGUG